UAGGGAAUCUUCGGCAAUGGACGAAAGUCUGACCGAGCAACGCCGCGUGAGUGAAGAAGGUUUUCGGAUCGUAAAACUCUGUUGUUAGAGAAGAACAAGGACGUUAGUAACUGAACGUCCCCUGACGGUAUCUAACCAGAAAGCCACGGCUAACUACGUGCCAGCAGCCGCGGUAAUACGUAGGUGGCAAGCGUUGUCCGGAUUUAUUGGGCGUAAAGCGAGCGCAGGCGGUUUCUUAAGUCUGAUGUGAAAGCCCCCGGCUCAACCGGGGAGGGUCAUUGGAAACUGGGAGACUUGAGUGCAGAAGAGGAGAGUGGAAUUCCAUGUGUAGCGGUGAAAUGCGUAGAUGUAUGGAGGAACACCAGUGGCGAAGGCGGCUCUCUGGUCUGUAACUGACGCUGAGGCUGGAAAGCGUGGGGAGCAAACAGG
RNAcentral lists this ribosomal RNA (429 nucleotides) under Gemmatimonadota bacterium. Its description in RNAcentral is "Gemmatimonadetes bacterium partial 16S ribosomal RNA". It matches the Rfam family "Bacterial small subunit ribosomal RNA", at positions 355 to 776 of the family's 1533-position model. Lineage: Bacteria; Pseudomonadati; Gemmatimonadota. The record is from RNAcentral.